Leptinotarsa decemlineata (Colorado potato beetle) is the source of this 832-nucleotide long non-coding RNA. Lineage: Eukaryota; Metazoa; Arthropoda; Insecta; Coleoptera; Chrysomelidae. The record is from RefSeq and is a predicted model, not a curated record.
GCAAUCACAGCUCGCGAUACGUUGAAUGAAUUACGUAGAACGCAUUAGUUAUAGAUUGAUGAGUACUUCAUUGAAUCGAUGAAUGGUUCAUAGUUAAUUCCGCAUUCAUUAUGAUAGUAAUCAGAAUAUAUCAGAUGAUAUAUUUCGGUCGGGCGGCACAAACAUUUCCAUGAUAAACCAGCUGGAAUUGCUAUUUUAUACUUCAUGUGAUUUAGAUUGUAUUAAUCCCGCAACCAUAAUAUAAUUUCAGUUAUUUAUAGGUUUUUUAAUGGAUCUAUUUGGAAUUUGUUUGAAAUCGCCAAUGCGACGAAUGUGAUUCAUUAUAUAAUAUAUUAGUAUGAUAAAGUGGUUUGAUCGGAUCGUCACUGGAACUGUUAUAUCACUGAUAACUGAGAGUGUUUUAAAUGCAAUCAUUUUCCAUGACAUGUCAGCCGACGAUAGCUAAUGGGACCACUUGACUUGAAAAGGUGGCCUGUCUCCUGUCGUGAGACGUAAGUCUAGGUCGAUCAAGGUGUCAAAACAGUUUCUCGAAGCCACCUUGAAUACAUCGUGUGAGGUACAUAAAGGUUGUUUCAAGGUUGAAAGUGGUGGGUGGAGAUCCUGAAAUGAACCCAAACCAAGUACUUCAAUAGAAGUAAAAUUUCACGGCCUCAGAUUUACCGGAAGCAGUAAUACUUCUUGUGUUUGGAGCCACAGUUCUCACUACCGAAUAGCUACUAUCUACCAACCUCUGAUAUAAUUGCUGGAAACGAGAAAGAUCAUGCCUGAAAGGAAGUAACGCCGGCUGCCACUGGUAACCAUAAACCAAACGUGAUGUAGCUGAGAGCGUGGG